GACGAACGCUGGCGGCGUGCUUAACACAUGCAAGUCGAACGCUGAAGCUUGGUGCUUGCACUGGGUGGAUGAGUGGUGAACGGGUGAGUAAUACGUGAGUAACCUGCCCUUGACUCUGGGAUAAGCCUGGGAAACUGGGUCUAAUACUGGAUACGACAUGUCACCGCAUGGUGGUGUGUGGAAAGGGUUUUACUGGUUUUGGAUGGGCUCACGGCCUAUCAGCUUGUUGGUGGGGUAAUGGCUCACCAAGGCGACGACGGGUAGCCGGCCUGAGAGGGUGACCGGCCACACUGGGACUGAGACACGGCCCAGACUCCUACGGGAGGCAGCAGUGGGGAAUAUUGCACAAUGGGCGGAAGCCUGAUGCAGCGACGCCGCGUGAGGGAUGACGGCCUUCGGGUUGUAAACCUCUUUCAGCACGGAAGAAGCGAAAGUGACGGUACGUGCAGAAGAAGCGCCGGCUAACUACGUG
RNAcentral lists this ribosomal RNA (472 nucleotides) under uncultured bacterium. RNAcentral's name for it is "partial 16S ribosomal RNA". It matches the Rfam family "Bacterial small subunit ribosomal RNA", at positions 28 to 507 of the family's 1533-position model. The record is from RNAcentral.